UACAGAGGGUGCAAGCGUUGUUCGGAAUUAUUGGGCGUAAAGGGCAGGUAGGUGGUUUAGCAAGUUUACUGUGAAAUCCCUGGGCUUAACCCAGGAAGUGCGGUGAAUACUGCCAAACUAGAGUGCCGGAGGGGUUCGUGGAAUUCUCGGUGUAGCGGUGAAAUGCGUAGAUAUCGAGAGGAAUACCAGAGGCGAAGGCGACGGACUGGACGGCAACUGACACUCAGCUGCGAAAGCGUGGGGAGCAAACAGG
This 253-nucleotide ribosomal RNA is filed under the name uncultured bacterium. RNAcentral's name for it is "partial 16S ribosomal RNA". It matches the Rfam family "Bacterial small subunit ribosomal RNA", at positions 524 to 776 of the family's 1533-position model. The record is from RNAcentral.